GCAAACUUGGUCAUUUAGAGGAAGUAAAAGUCGUAACAAGGUUUCCGUAGGUGAACCUGCGGAAGGAUCAUUAAAAGAGAAGAGUGCUCGACGAGCCUCGCCCUCUUAAACCAUUGCGUACCUAAUCUUUGUCAUCUUCGCGGGCCGGGCGCUUCGGUGUCCUCCGCGAAGAAACACAAAAUCAAUUGGUUUGAUCAGUUUCUGAUUUUACGAGAUAAGAAAACAACUUUCAACAAUGGAUCUCUUGGCUCCGGCAUCGAUGAAGAACGCAGC
This 273-nucleotide unclassified non-coding RNA is filed under the name uncultured fungus. RNAcentral describes it as "partial contains small subunit ribosomal RNA, internal transcribed spacer 1, and 5.8S ribosomal RNA". The stretch from base 1 to 73 matches the Rfam family "Eukaryotic small subunit ribosomal RNA", at positions 1759 to 1831 of the family's 1831-position model. Lineage: Eukaryota; Fungi. The record is from RNAcentral.